CCAAUAGCGUAUAUUAAAGUUGUUGCAGUUAAAAAGCUCGUAGUUGAACCUUAGGCCCGUGCGGGCGGUCCGUCCUCGUGGCGAGCACUGUCCGUUGCGGGUCUCACCUUCUGGCGAGCGUAGAUGCCAUUUAUUUGGUGUCUGCGGGAACCAGGACCUUUACCUUGAAAAAAUUAGAGUGCUCAAAGCGGGCUCCGACGCUUGAAUACAUUAGCAUGGAAUAAUGAAAUAGGACGAUGGUUCUAUUUUGUUGGUUUCCGGGACCGUCGUAAUGAUUAGUAGGGAUAGUUGGGGGCAUUCGUAUUCAAUUGUCAGAGGUGAAAUUCUUGGAUUUAUUGAAGACGAACUACUGCGAAAGCAUUUGCCAAGGAUGUUUUCAUUAAUCAAGAACGAAAGUUGGGGGAUCGAAGACGAUCAGAUACCGUCGUAGUCUCAACCAUAAACUAUGCCGACUGGGAAUCGGGCGAUGUUACUUUUACGACUCGCUCGGCGCCCCGAG
Molecule: ribosomal RNA, 499 nt
Filed under: uncultured Glomeromycotina
Lineage: Eukaryota; Fungi; Glomeromycota
Description: partial small subunit ribosomal RNA
Rfam family: Eukaryotic small subunit ribosomal RNA
Source: RNAcentral